UACGAAGGGGGCUAGCGUUGCUCGGAAUCACUGGGCGUAAAGCGCACGUAGGCGGCUUUUUAAGUCAGGGGUGAAAUCCUGGAGCUCAACUCCAGAACUGCCUUUGAUACUGGGAAGCUUGAGUCCGGAAGAGGUGAGUGGAACUCCGAGUGUAGAGGUGAAAUUCGUAGAUAUUCGGAAGAACACCAGUGGCGAAGGCGGCUCACUGGCCCGGUACUGACGCUGAGGUGCGAAAGCGUGGGGAGCAAACAGG
This 253-nucleotide ribosomal RNA is filed under the name uncultured bacterium. Its description in RNAcentral is "partial 16S ribosomal RNA". It matches the Rfam family "Bacterial small subunit ribosomal RNA", at positions 524 to 776 of the family's 1533-position model. The record is from RNAcentral.